Molecule: ribosomal RNA, 425 nt
Filed under: uncultured bacterium
Lineage: Bacteria
Description: bacterial SSU rRNA
Rfam family: Bacterial small subunit ribosomal RNA
Source: RNAcentral
GUGGGGGAUAUUGGACAAUGGGGGCAACCCUGAUCCAGCGACGCCGCGUGAGGGAAGAAGGUUUUCGGAUUGUAAACCUCUGUUGACGGAGAAAAAAAUGAUGGUAUCCGUUUAGAAAGCCACGGCUAACUACGUGCCAGCAGCCGCGGUAAUACGUAGGUGGCAAGCGUUGUCCGGAAUUACUGGGUGUAAAGGGAGUGUAGGCGGGAUUUUAAGUCAGAAGUGAAAAUUACGGGCUCAACUCGUAACCUGCUUUUGAAACUGAAAUUCUUGAGUGAAGUAGAGGCAAGCGGAAUUCCUAGUGUAGCGGUGAAAUGCGUAGAUAUUAGGAGGAACACCAGUGGCGAAGGCGGCUUGCUGGGCUUUUACUGACGCUGAGGCUCGAAAGCGUGGGGAGCAAACAGGAUUAGAAACCCUAGUAGUCC